Molecule: long non-coding RNA, 698 nt
Organism: Mesocricetus auratus (golden hamster)
Lineage: Eukaryota; Metazoa; Chordata; Mammalia; Rodentia; Cricetidae
Exons: 5
Source: RefSeq, a predicted model, not a curated record
CGAGGGUUCCGCCCCUCUGAGGCCACGGCCCCGCACGCUUUCUCUGGCGCAUUGGCCACGCUCCUCAGGGCUCCACCCUCUCCCCGCCCGCGGCUCGGUUACGAGCUGUGUGUUGUGUGAGAGAGAACAGGUGGCUGGAGGAGCUCCGGACGUGCUGCCAGAGUUUCAUCGCAGAGCGUGCGUCUGGGAACAGAGCUUACAGAGGGAGCCUAGAUCAGUUUAAUUAUGCAUUAGUUCUUUAGUCACUUAACUGUCACUUUCGCUUAUGCCAACGUUUCCACCAUUUUCACUAUUUCCUAGCCGCGCGCGCGCGCGCGUGUGUGUAUGCACCAAGGGUUUUCACAUGUGGCAAAAGCGUCCCCAACACAAUCCAGUGACUGGAGGAAGGAGCCCCUCGAGCACCCCACUGGUGGGCUGUCUGGAAGCAGGGGGAUACUCAGUGAAAGCUUUUAAGAGAUACCACAUCAAAACAGAGUCCUGUGUGGGGGCUGAUGACAUCUGAAGAAGAAUCAGCAGUCCCCUGCACCGACACGUGAAAGUGCUGUGUGAAGAGCGUGAAUGGAUACCGUGUCUCCUCACAAGCUGGGAUCACUAUUCACCCCUUAUGACUCUGGGACUCCUCAAGUGAGUACUCACCAACAAGAGGACCUUACCACCUGUAGCCCUUCGACCUUGGACCACUCAAUUUUCAGAAUUGU